UUCGAUCAGUCUUUCCCCUUCAUCUCCACUGUUGUUUUCUUCUCCGACUUCGAAACCUAGCCACCGCAACCCGUUGCUCGCCUCCAUUCUUCGCUGCGUCGACGCCGCUGUUUUGCGUCCAGUUCUUCGCCGAGUCAUUUCCCUUAUCUCCAUCUCCAGAUUUUCCCCCUCCUGGGCUCUUGAAAUUUGCGCUGGAGUCUUGGCAUAUCUUUUUUGCACAGCCAUCCGACUUGUCUGUCCUCAUUAGGCUACCAUGCAGGGGAAUUCAUGUUGUGAAUCACAAAUUUGUCUUUGGAGUUUUCUUUCCUUUGCUGUGAAUCAGGAUUUUGAUUGAGAUUUGUUUGGUGGGCAACAAAUUUUUGAUAUUGGGCUAUUGGAGUUGCACUUCUUCUGUGAGUAAGAUUUGGCAGCCGUUUGGUCUUAUGUGCCAUGGCAAUUGAGAAGAACAACUUUAAGGCAUCAAGGCUUGAUUCUGAGUUUUCACCCCACAGUAGGGAGACUAUGUCUAGUGAUGAGGAUGAUCUUCAGCGGCGUAACUCAGCCGUGGAAUCUGAUGAUGAUGAUGAGUUUGAUGAUGCAGAUUCUGGGGCAGGGUCAGAUGACUUUGAUUUGCUGGAAUUGGGUGAAACUAGAGCAGAGUUUUGCCAAAUUGGCAACCAGACUUGCAGCAUCCCGUUGGAAUUAUAUGAUCUUCCAGGACUUGAAGAAAUAUUGUCAGUGGAUGUUUGGAAUGAUUGCUUGAGUGAGGAAGAGCGAUUUGAACUUGCCAAGUAUCUUCCUGACAUGGACCAAGAGGCUUUUGUUCGAACCUUAACAGAUCUGUUUACUGGUUGUAACCUCCAUUUUGGGAGUCCCAUUAAGAAGUUGUUUGAAAUGCUUAAAGGGGGCUUGUGUGAACCAAGAGUUGCACUUUACAGGGAGGGUUUGAACUUUUUCCAGAAGCGGCAGCAUUAUCAUCUACUGAGGAAGCAUCAAAACAACAUGGUUGUCAAUCUCUGUCAGGUAAGGGAUGCUUGGCUUAAUUGCAGGGGAUACAGUAUUGAAGAAAGGCUUCGUGUUUUGAACAUUAUGAGAAGUCAAAGGAGUUUGAUGUCUGAGAAGAUUGAUGAUUUGGUGGUUGGUUCAUCAGACGAAGACUCUGGUGAAGGGAUAUGGAAUAGAAAGAACAAGGAUGGGAAGAAUAUGCAGAAAAUGGGUCGUCAUUCUUCUCAUGGGGCAGGUUCUGGUUUGGAAUUUCACUCACGAGGACGAUCAGUGGGUGUGGAACCAGAAAAGUAUGGAAAGCAAAACCCGAAGGGCAUGCUUAGGUUGGCUGGAUUAAAGGCAUCUACAGCCAAGGAUCCAGCUGGUUACAUGUCUUCUGGGUACCAUGGUUUGGAUAAGAAUCCUGGGCUAAACGGUUCGACAAGUGUGUUUCCUCUGCAAAAGUCUGCGGCUUAUGAUUCGGGGUUGAUGAUGAGGAUGAGGGAUCAUAUGAGGAAUGGUGAUGCUGCUGAGGAUAUGACAUAUGAACUUGGUGUCCCGCAAGAUCGAAAUGCAUUGCGUGGCAAAAUGACGGAUAAAUCUGGUAUUAUGAGAAUGGGAAAGAGGCAUGAUCUUCUUAGAGGCGAUGAAAUGGAUAAUGACAAUAUAAUGAGUCUAUCUUUGUCCUCAAAGGCCGAUCUGCAUACUUACUCUCGGAAUGCAAACCAAUCCUCAGAUAUGAAAAUGUUCACAAAGUCAUUAUCUACCAGAGGUUCUUAUGAUUUUUCUAGAAAGGCUAAGCAUACUGAAAAUAGCCAACAAUUUGUUGAUGAUCAAAUCAAGCCUAAACUCAGGGGAUCACAGCUCCCACCUAAAGGAAGUCUUGUUGAUUCAUUAGAUCAUGAUGAAUUUUUUGGCACCAGCAAAACCCCUGGAGAUGAAUCUGCUCUGGAUUCAUCAUUUCAAUAUGAUGACUGGAAUUUGAGGAGCAAGAGGUGGAAGGCAGGGAGGGAGUCUCCUGAUCUCAGUUAUGCUGCUUAUAGAUCUUCUUCACCCCAAGUGAGUGAUAGACAUGCGCUCACUGACUUCAGAAAAAAAUCAUUGCAGGGUAAGGUUAGAGGGGCUUUUGUACAGAAUGGAGGACAAGAUAUGUUGGCUUCAAGAGGCAGGAGGAUGCUUCAUAGAGGUGAAGAAACCGAAUCAGACUCAUCAGAACAGUUGAAUGAUGAUGAGGAUGGUAAUCCAUUGUUGCAGAGCAAAUUUCCUUACUCAGUUAAUGAUGAUUCUCGCAUGACAAUUUUGAAGUCCCGCCUAGAACCCAAGGAAGCAAAGUUUGUGAAGAAAGACUUCAAGGGACAUGGGAAAGCAAAAUCCAAGAAGAUGGGUUAUUUUGGAGAGAAUUCUCUGCCUGGUGCAGAAAAUUUCAUUUCAAAGGAAAAACAGAAAGGUAAAAUGCGCCAAAGUGGCCGUUUGCAUGAUUUUGCCAAUAAACUUUUGGAAGAGAGCUAUCCCUCGAGUUCAGAGAAGCUUAAUGAUGGUGAUGAUGAUUGGAGAGAAAACUACAGGUUGGGCAAGAAUGGUCGAAUAUCACAGGAACCCAUUGAAAGGUUAGACAUGCCUUCUUCAAAUGCUUAUAGUUAUGAGCUAAAGAAGAAAGGGAAGGGAAGAACUGAGUUUGGUCGCUCCAUUCUCAGGUCUAAAUACUUGAAUGAUUAUAUUGGUGAUGAGGAGAAUGACUCACAUGAGGCACGGUUGGUGGUGGAUGAUAAUGGGGUUGGUCAGGGCAGAGUUAAGAAGAAAGGGAAAAAAUAUGGAUACAAGGAUGACCAAUAUGGAAAAUCUGAUGCGCAAUUUCUGGCGUGCAACUCGGUGACAAAGAAGUGGAAAAUGAAGGAUGAUGCAGCAGAUCUGGAUGGAAGAGAAGGGGAUGCCAAUCCUGUGUCUAAUUUUCAAACUGAUGAUUCAACAUCUUUCAAAAGAAAGUCAAAGAGAAAAAUGGAGAUUGAAGCAGCUAGUUCGGAUGUGGAUAUUUCUGAACUGCCCAUUGCAGAUUUGGGAACAGCAGAUACAGAGCUAGAAGCAAAACCGCAGAAAAAACCAUUUACUUUGAUUACGCCUACUGUUCAUACUGGAUUCUCAUUUUCUAUUAUACAUCUUCUUUCUGCCGUCCGUAUGGCAAUGAUUGCCCCUCUUGCAGAAGACAGUUUAGAGGUGGGAAAACCUAGAGAAGAUCAGAAUACAGCACAUGUAGGUACUGCUAAUGGUAUCCCCUCUAAUGAGAAGAUGGCCACCAAUUCUGAGCUUGCUGGCCAAGUGAAUACAUCUCUUACUGUCCAGGAAAUUGUUCACCGUGUCAGAUCUAACCCUGGUGAUCCUUGUAUUCUGGAGAUGCAAGAACCUCUGCAGGAUUUGGUCAGAGGAGUUUUGAAGAUAUUUUCCUCAAAAACAGCGCCAUUAGGAGCGAAGGGUUGGAAGGUGCUAGCAGUGUAUGAAAAAUCCACAAGAUGCUGGUCAUGGACUGGUCCAGUUCCUCAUAAUUCAUCUGAUCAUGAUUCUAUUGAGGAAGUGACAUCUCCUGAAGCUUGGGGCCUCCCUCAUAAGAUGCUUGUUAAGUUGGUUGAUUCCUUUGCCAAUUGGCUGAAAUGUGGUCAGGAAACACUUCAACAAAUAGGAAGUCUUCCUGCACCACCUUUGGAGUUGAUGCAAGUCAACCUUGAUGAGAAAGAGAGAUUUAGAGACCUCAGAGCUCAGAAGAGUCUUAACACUAUUAGCCCCAGUUCUGAGGAAGUCAGGGCUUAUUUCCGCAGGGAGGAAGUUCUUAGGUACUCAAUUCCUGACAGAGCAUUCUCUUAUACUGCAGCUGAUGGUAAAAAAUCUAUUGUUGCACCCUUGAGAAGAUGUGGUGGUAAGCCAACAUCCAAAGCCCGAGACCAUUUUAUGUUGAAACGUGAUAGACCACCGCAUGUUACUAUCCUUUGUCUGGUCAGAGAUGCAGCUGCCAGGUUGCCUGGAAGUAUUGGCACUAGAGCUGAUGUUUGCACAUUAAUUAGAGAUUCUCAAUAUAUUGUUGAAGAUGUCUCUGAUGCUCAGAUUAACCAGGUAGUUAGUGGGGCCUUGGAUCGGUUGCAUUAUGAACGUGACCCUUGUGUGCAAUUUGAUGGGGAAAGGAAGUUGUGGGUUUAUUUACAUAGAGAAAGAGAAGAAGAAGAUUUUGAGGAUGAUGGCACUUCAUCAACAAAAAAAUGGAAGAGGCAGAAAAAAGAUGCUACAGAUCAAUCUGAUCAAGGAGCAGUAACUGUUGCUUAUCAUGGGACUGGGGAGCAAAAUGGAUAUGACCUGUGCUCAGAUCUCAAUGCUGAGCCAUCGGGUAUUGAAGAUGAUAAGGGAGGAGAGCUUGUGUCUGAUGAUGUGAGGCUAAAUGUGGAGGACAAUAUUGAUACCAAUCUUGCAUCUGAACAAGGCAAUGUUGGUCAGGAUAAUUCAAUGGAUUGGGAGACAAUUGGAAUAAACACAAAUCGUGAGAGUAAAUUGCUGUGUCAAGAGAAUUCUGCAAAUGAAGAUUUUGAUGAUGAAUCCUUCGGAAGAGAGAGGUCUGUUGGACUAUCAAGUGCGAGCCUAUUAUGAAGAACUCUUAAGUCAUCAGCCUACCAGCACUGAGGAGCUCAAAUUCCCUUUUUCUACAUGUGCUUGUAAAUAUUUCAGGAUCUGGAGUAUAGUUCCUUUUGUACACCGGAGGACCGUGGAGCUGAACCUUGCACUGUAUUGCUUCACAAUAUUAUUAUUUCAUCUUGUAUAUAUGAUUCAGUUAAGAAUCUUAAGAUCGUGAUACUGCUACAAUAAGCUUGUGACUUCUAGCCGAAGAUAGAAGAGGAGAAAAUUUGAAAUACUCUCAAGUCAAAUAGCCUGGUCAGAUUUUAAGACGAGAUUUAUUAGUCAUUGGUUGAUUGAUAUUGAUAUUGAUAUUGUAUAUGCCCGAGAAGCAUGCCCAAAAGGAGAAAAAAAAAGAAGGAAAAAAAAAAAAAAGUAAGCUGUAAUAUCAACUUGAGUUCAAGUGACAAACUUAAUUUUUUCCAACCUUACAAAAGAAUGCCUCUCUCUCUGUCUCUCCAUGUUCUUGAGUUGCAGAUCUUGUUACUUUACAGAUUGCUGCAACAGUUUGUGCACAACUUCGAGCUGUUGAGCUAUCUUGAGCCCGACCUUAAAUUUGGGUAAGUAUUCUCUCUCCAUCUUUUAUCUCAGAUGUCAAAAUGAAGGUGCUGACUUAUUGAAGCUCCAAUAGUUUUUUUCUUUUAAAAAAAAAAAAAAAAACAGAGAGAACAAAUCUAAUGUACUGGGGAUUGGAAUCUAUUUGUUGUUCUCCUGGAAUAAAAGGCUACGCCAAAACCACACAAGAGAGAAAAAUAGUAUCUGACUACUGACUGCUGACUACAAGAGCAUAAGCUGGGAAAUGCCUGUAGCCAACGGGGCUUGAGUGAGAACCAUGUAUUCUGAUUCUAUUUGAUGACUUCCUUUGCAAGCCAAUUCGUGUAGAAAAUUCUUUUCUUUAAAGCCGUGAUCGAUGUAUUACUGUCCAGUUUUGUAUUAAAUAGUGCCUAAUUUCAUUAAAGGCAUGGCGGUGCUGGUUGUUAUCUGUGUUAGCAAAUAGGCUUGAGCUUGACACUUCUGUGUAAGCAUUCUGUAGCUCUUAUUGUAGCUUAAUAGGGAAUAGGACGCAUAGUAGUCAUUAGGAAUAGUAAAAGUGGAACUUGUGUAUCUUGUGCUCACCGGGGGAAAAAAGUGGAACUUGUAUGCCUUCUCAUGUGCAGGGAAAACAAGAUAUUAUAAGGUCUGGGAAUUCUCAGUAA
Molecule: RNA transcript, 5807 nt
Organism: Neltuma alba
Lineage: Eukaryota; Viridiplantae; Streptophyta; Magnoliopsida; Fabales; Fabaceae
Exons: 5
Source: RefSeq, a predicted model, not a curated record